UGGAUGAUGUGGUUUAAUUCGAUGCAACGCGAAAACCUUACCACCUUUGACAUGUACGGAAUCCUUUAGAGAUAGAGGAGUGCUCGAAAGAGAGCCGUAACACAGGUGCUGCAUGGCUGUCGUCAGCUCGUGUCGUGAGAUGUUGGGUUAAGUCCCGCAACGAGCGCAACCCUUGUCAUUAGUUGCUACGAAAGGGCACUCUAAUGAGACUGCCGGUGACAAACCGGAGGAAGGUGGGGAUGGCGUCAAGUCCUCAUGGCCCUAUAGGUGGGGCUACACACGUCAUACAAUGGCUGGUACAAAGGGUUGCCAACCCGCGAGGGGGAGCCAAUCCCAUAAAGCCAGUCGUAGUCCGGAUCGCAGUCUGCAACUCGACUGCGUGAAGUCGGAAUCGCUAGUAAUCGUGGAUCAGCAUGUCACGGUGAAUACGUUCCCGGGUCUU
RNAcentral lists this ribosomal RNA (442 nucleotides) under uncultured Hydrogenophaga sp. RNAcentral's name for it is "bacterial SSU rRNA". It matches the Rfam family "Bacterial small subunit ribosomal RNA", at positions 933 to 1382 of the family's 1533-position model. Lineage: Bacteria; Pseudomonadati; Pseudomonadota; Betaproteobacteria; Burkholderiales; Comamonadaceae. The record is from RNAcentral.